AUUAUAUAUGUAUAUUAUACUGUAUAUCACCCCAUGAAAACAAAACAACUGUCCAGCUCCAAAACUCCAGCUCUCAAACUCGUCCCAGCACACGGAUCAGUAACUUCAUUCCUGAACACACGUUUGAGCAUGAAGAGUGGAGCAGCCGGGAUCACAGGGAUGUUUUUACUGAACUCAGAAGCUGGAGGAUUGAGCACAACAAGUACUGAACCUUCUCUCACAUACACACACACACACACUCACUCUCUCAAACACACACACACACACACACACACAGUGUCACACACACACAGACACAAACACACACACACACACACACACACACUCACACACACACACACACACACACACACACACACACACACACACACACACACACACACACACACACACACACUUCCUGUUAAAAUGUGCUUUACACACACACACUCUCAAACAAACACACACACACACACACACUCAAACACACUCACACAAACACACACACACACACACACACACUUCCUGUUAAAAUGUGCUUUUCUUUUAACAGACGUCUGUUGGUUAUUGAGAAGGAGCGGCAGCCGCAGGUGAUGAGGAUCCACCACAGCGAUGAUGAAGAUGAUGAUGAAGGCAGUCACAGCCAUAGUUUCAGCAGCGAUGACAUCACUAGAGACACGAGCUCUCCUGAUUGGUCCGUUCAGUGUCCCUCAGCAGAAUCUGCAGAGAUGUUGAGACUCAGCUCUUCAUCAGGCUGUUCGAUGUCUCCCUCUCCUCCACCCAGAGCAGCAGCAGCGCCCCCUGCUGGCCGGAGGAUCACACAGCUCCGCACUCGGAGACUCAGAGCUCAUCCUGCAGACGUCAGUAAAGCCAGAGCAUCAGAGGAGACUCAUGGGACUGAGAGCAUGAUGACUGUAAGAUCUCAGACUGCGUGUCCUCAAAUCAUCCACAAACCUCACAGACCCUCCACCAGUCCUCUUAGAGCACAAUGGUCAGAAGCUACUGAGGAUCAUCAACACUCAGACAUCCAACAUAAACCAAUAAUAGGCUCUGAAAAACUGACGCCCAGACGCCCACAAACAGCCAGAGCUGCACUGCAGAGACUACCAGACCGGAAACAUCUGCCUGAAAUGAUGCAUUAAGUAUUUCAGGUUUGAUUGACAGGAGAGUCUCAGCACAGAUAUCAUGUGAUCUCUGACACAGACUGCAGAUCUAUUGGACGAUAAUGUCAGGUGACUGUGAUUGUGAACUCUGUUCUCCUGCGGUGGAUCUGCAGCAGCGCAGCUUCAUCUCUGGCAGAUUGCUAGCAUGUCUGCUCUUGCAGGUUCAGUGUUUGCAGGCAGGUGCAGGUGCAGUUAUUCCACACGUCUCUGAAAGAUUUUCCACAGAUGACAGUCAGAAACAGUGUUGUUCUGACAAACACCACAUAAUUUACUGGCCACAAUCUCCACAGGCUCUGAGCCUUUUAACCAUUUUGGGCAGAAUUUUGUAACGAGUUUUUUGUGCACAUCCAGAUAUAUGUUGUUAAUAUUUGGCAAAUGGAGGAUGGAAAAUUGUUAAUAAAGGCAAGUGGAGAAUGAAAAACAACGUUCUUUUUAUAUAUAUUUUUU
This is a long non-coding RNA of Sinocyclocheilus grahami, 1589 nucleotides long. Lineage: Eukaryota; Metazoa; Chordata; Actinopteri; Cypriniformes; Cyprinidae. The record is from Ensembl.